This 214-nucleotide long non-coding RNA is filed under the name Ricinus communis (castor bean). Its description in RNAcentral is "long non-coding RNA (RCOM_LNC001839)". Lineage: Eukaryota; Viridiplantae; Streptophyta; Magnoliopsida; Malpighiales; Euphorbiaceae. The record is from RNAcentral.
AAAAAUUAUUUGAGGAAAUUUGAAAGAAAUGAAAGAUAUAGAUGAAAGAAGAAAUUAUAAAUAAGAAUAAUAAAAGAAUAGAGAAAAUAAAAAAUGAGAAAAUAAUUAAAAAGAAGAAGAAUAAGAAAACUGGAGGAAAUGAAAGAAGAAAUAAUAAAAAAAAAGAAAUAAAUUAAUAAAAAGAGAAGAAAAAAAAAUAAAGAAUAAAAAUUAA